UGAGUAACACGUAUGCAAUCCACCUGUAACAGGGGAUAACCCGGAGAAAUCCGGACUAAUACCCCAUAAUAUGGGCGCUCCGCAUGGAGAGUCCAUUAAAGAGAGCAAUCUUGGUUACAGACGAGCAUGCGCUCCAUUAGCCAGUUGGCGGGGUAACGGCCCACCAAGGCGACGAUGGAUAGGGGUUCUGAGAGGAAGGUCCCCCACAUUGGAACUGAGACACGGUCCAA
RNAcentral lists this ribosomal RNA (230 nucleotides) under uncultured bacterium. RNAcentral describes it as "partial 16S ribosomal RNA". It matches the Rfam family "Bacterial small subunit ribosomal RNA", at positions 107 to 334 of the family's 1533-position model. The record is from RNAcentral.